AUUUUACUUAUAUUUACCGAACUAUUUGACACGGUCGCGUCAACUGUGUUUACGAGUGUCUUGUGUUCAGAUUGUUUUAAGUGAUAAUUUAACAAUAUUUUUCCAAAUAAAUGGAAAGAAACUUUUAUUUAUAUCAAAUAAUUGAGUGUCUCGACUGUGUGACAUUAUGUCUUGUGUGGUAUGGGGCUGCAGCUCACAUUCAGGAAGAAAAGAAAAUAGCCAACAACUUCUGUCGUUUCAUCGAUAUUAAAUCCAAAAGUGUCGACUGGAUUUACAUGAAAAGUCAGUUCAAGAAGACGAGAUGAAAAAUUUAAAAGAAAAGCUGAACAAGUCCCGCCUCAAGAUCAAACGACUUAAUGAAAAAAAAAAACAAUGUGACAGGGUGUCACAAAGACAGUUUCUAAGCAAAUUGACACUGUUUAGAAAUUAAUAAAUUUGUAUUUAUUGUAAAUAUAAUGUACAUAAUUAAUAACGUGUGAAAUAAAUACUUGCUAAUGAACAGA
Pectinophora gossypiella (pink bollworm) is the source of this 503-nucleotide long non-coding RNA. RefSeq lists it as uncharacterized. The transcript is spliced from 3 exons. The record is from RefSeq and is a predicted model, not a curated record. NCBI's taxonomy places the organism in Eukaryota, Metazoa, Arthropoda, Insecta, Lepidoptera, Gelechiidae.